Molecule: ribosomal RNA, 431 nt
Filed under: uncultured bacterium
Lineage: Bacteria
Description: partial 16S ribosomal RNA
Rfam family: Bacterial small subunit ribosomal RNA
Source: RNAcentral
AGCGAACGCUGGCGGCAGGCCUAACACAUGCAAGUCGAACGCCCCUUCGGGGGAGUGGCGGCCGGGUGAGUAACGCGUGGGAAUGUGCCCUUUGGUACGGAACAACUGAGGGAAACUUCAGCUAAUACCGUAUGUGCCCUACGGGGGAAAGAUUUAUCGCCAUUGGAGCAGCCCGCGUUGGAUUAGGUAGUUGGUGGGGUAAUGGCCCACCAAGCCGACGAUCCAUAGCUGGUCUGAGAGGAUGAUCAGCCACACUGGGACUGAGACACGGCCCAGACUCCUACGGGAGGCAGCAGUGGGGAAUCUUGCGCAAUGGGCGAAAGCCUGACGCAGCCAUGCCGCGUGAAUGAUGAAGGUCUUAGGAUUGUAAAAUUCUUUCACCGGGGAAGAUAAUGACGGUACCCGGAGAAGAAGCCCCGGCUAACUUCGUG